RNAcentral lists this unclassified non-coding RNA (497 nucleotides) under Hevea brasiliensis (rubber tree). The record is from RNAcentral. Lineage: Eukaryota; Viridiplantae; Streptophyta; Magnoliopsida; Malpighiales; Euphorbiaceae.
GGAGAUGAUCGCAGUCAGAAUACUUAAAGUAUUCAGUUUUUAUUGUGAUCUUAACAAUCAGGAAUCUUUAACCUUCCUUUUUCUGGAAAUUGUCACGUGACACCAUAUAGCUUAGACAAUUUUCUUGAUUCACAAGUGAAUAUAUUAUUAUCUAAUCAAUAAACAACUUUGAUCCCUGUUUUCUUGUAGGCAAGACAGCAUAUGAAGCAAAAACCUUGAUGACCGGACUUUGUUGUCUAAGCUCAUCAAGUUUCUUUUUACUUGCUUUACUGGGUUUUUCCUUUGGACAAGUCCACUGUGUGCUAAUAAUAACAUGCUAAUUUGCUAACAAAACAGAAAAAGCUAACAUCAGCUAUUCAGCUUGACAUUACAAUGCCAAAGCCAAUAAAGUAUGCUUGGUUUUGCAGCUGGAAUUUGGUACUUGAUUCGCUCCAAGGAGAAGGGGGCUAUGGAAGUUGGAUCCUGGAAGGUCAAAGGGGAAGCCUGUAAACUAUUUU